This is a non-coding RNA of Mycena maculata, 95 nucleotides long. NCBI's taxonomy places the organism in Eukaryota, Fungi, Basidiomycota, Agaricomycetes, Agaricales, Mycenaceae. The record is from the annotation of a GenBank genome assembly.
GCUCCAGUAGUGUAAUGGUAACAUUGCUUCCUGUUGUUACAUUGAACGAAGUUAGUAAUCAGAAGCUGAUCCCCGUUUGACUCGGGGCUGGAGCG